UAUUCCAUCAUGAUGAAAUAUUGCGGAUGUAAAUCUAUUGUCACGGCGGAAAAGCGCAAAAAUAAUGUCGAGAUUUCCGUUGCCUUCCUUCUGAUCAUGGAA
RNAcentral lists this small nucleolar RNA (102 nucleotides) under Claviceps purpurea 20.1. RNAcentral describes it as "Small nucleolar RNA Z13/snr52". It matches the Rfam family "Small nucleolar RNA Z13/snr52". From Rfam's summary of the family: Z13 or snr52 is a member of the C/D class of snoRNA which contain the C (UGAUGA) and D (CUGA) box motifs. Most of the members of the box C/D family function in directing site-specific 2'-O-methylation of substrate RNAs. The record is from Rfam by way of RNAcentral. Lineage: Eukaryota; Fungi; Ascomycota; Sordariomycetes; Hypocreales; Clavicipitaceae.